CGUGAUAGCUCCGUCAUCGAGCGCCGUCCGCACGAGCGCUGUCCGCGACAGCCGUCCACGAGAGCGCCGUCCGCGUUCGCUGCCGUCCACGCGAGCCCCGUCCUCGAGCGCCGCCCGCGACCGCUGUGAUCUCGGGCGCAACUAGCACCGUCGCGGCCAUCGAGACCGCGGCCACCUCCCCUUAUCUCCGUACUCUUGCAUCUCGAGUUCUCGACCUCAACGGCGGUGAGUAUCACGAUGAUGGCGUUGCUGGGCCGGCAGAUCGGGGUGGCGGCGGUAGCUACCGCGUUCAUUGCCCUCGCGGCGUUUGGAUCUGCCGCAUCCUGGCUUAAAUCCUUCGUGAAGUCCACUGUCUCCGCUCAGCGCUCAUGACGUUCUUAUCUUCUCCAAGUCAUACUGCCACUUGUAGCGUCCCGGCGGCGGAGGUGGCGCGACAUCCUAAUGGAACGGGCACCGUGAUGUCCGGCGGCGUGUGCUCAUCCUCCCUUCCUGCGAGAUUGCAUUCGUCUAGCAGAGCAUCAUGUUGCCAUUGACUUCUAAGCCCUUCUCAGGGUUAAGAAUGAGGCUUGAGUCUACAUAUUUGUACGAAGUCCAGUAUUGGUCACUGCAGUUGAAGGUUACUCUGAUGUAUAUAUUGACUACUGCCAUUGAGUCCAGGUUUCUCUAUUUUUACUACUACCAUUGAAGUCAAAUCAGGUUGUGUUGACACCGUUUUUGGGCACGUGUCUAGGAUGGCAGGAUAAGGUGGCAGUACGAUGUUUACA
This is a long non-coding RNA of Sorghum bicolor (sorghum), 764 nucleotides long. RefSeq lists it as uncharacterized. The transcript has 4 exons. The record is from RefSeq and is a predicted model, not a curated record. NCBI's taxonomy places the organism in Eukaryota, Viridiplantae, Streptophyta, Magnoliopsida, Poales, Poaceae.